GUAGGGAAUAUUGGGCAAUGGAGGCAACUCUGACCCAGCCAUGCCGCGUGCAGGAAGACGGUCCUCUGGAUUGUAAACUGCUUUUGAAUGGGAAGAAACGCACUUUUGCGAAAGUGUUUGACGGUACUAUUAGAAUAAGCACCGGCUAACUCCGUGCCAGCAGCCGCGGUAAUACGGAGGGUGCAAGCGUUAUCCGGCUUUAUUGGGUUUAAAGGGUGCGUAGGCGGCUUAAUAAGUCUGGGGUUAAAGGCGGCAGCUUAACUGUACGCAUGCCCUGGAAACUGUGAGGCUUGAGUGACUUGGAGGUAGCUGGAAUUCCCUGUGUAGCGGUGAAAUGCAUAGAUACGGGGAGGAAUACCGAUUGCGAAGGCAUGUUACUACGAGUAAACUGACGCUGAUGCACGAAAGCGUGGGGAUCAAACAGGAUUAGAAACCCGGGUAGUCC
Molecule: ribosomal RNA, 445 nt
Filed under: uncultured bacterium
Lineage: Bacteria
Description: bacterial SSU rRNA
Rfam family: Bacterial small subunit ribosomal RNA
Source: RNAcentral